GCCCCUUUAGCUCAAUUGGCAGAGCAGCUGACUCUUAAUCAGCGGGUUGAUGGUUCGAGUCCAUCAGGGGGCA
This 73-nucleotide transfer RNA is filed under the name Planctomycetota bacterium. RNAcentral's name for it is "Planctomycetes bacterium tRNA-Lys". It matches the Rfam family "tRNA". From Rfam's summary of the family: Transfer RNA (tRNA) molecules are approximately 80 nucleotides in length. Their secondary structure includes four short double-helical elements and three loops (D, anti-codon, and T loops). Lineage: Bacteria; Pseudomonadati; Planctomycetota. The record is from RNAcentral.